RNAcentral lists this ribosomal RNA (349 nucleotides) under uncultured Anoxybacillus sp. RNAcentral describes it as "bacterial SSU rRNA". It matches the Rfam family "Bacterial small subunit ribosomal RNA", at positions 1033 to 1382 of the family's 1533-position model. The record is from RNAcentral. Lineage: Bacteria; Bacillati; Bacillota; Bacilli; Caryophanales; Anoxybacillaceae.
GACAGGUGGUGCAUGGUUGUCGUCAGCUCGUGUCGUGAGAUGUUGGGUUAAGUCCCGCAACGAGCGCAACCCUCGACCUUAGUUGCCAGCAUUCAGUUGGGCACUCUAAGGUGACUGCCGGCUAAAAGUCGGAGGAAGGUGGGGAAUGACGUCAAAUCAUCAUGCCCCUUAUGACCUGGGCUACACACGUGCUACAAUGGGCGGUACAAAGGGUCGCGAACCCGCGAGGAGGAGCCAAUCCCAAAAAGCCGCUCUCAGUUCGGAUUGCAGGCUGCAACUCGCCUGCAUGAAGCCGGAAUCGCUAGUAAUCGCGGAUCAGCAUGCCGCGGUGAAUACGUUCCCGGGCCUU